GCCUAUUGGUUUUCAUCAUGAAGGCACUCAUCCUUGUAGGAGGUUUUGGAACAAGGCUGAGGCCACUGACCCUCAGCGUGCCAAAGCCGCUGGUUGACUUUGCUAACAAGCCCAUGAUACUUCAUCAGAUUGAAGCACUAAAAGCUAUUGGAGUGACCGAAGUAAUUUUGGCAAUUAACUAUCAGCCAAAGAUAAUGCAAAACUUCCUGAAAGAGUUCGAAAAAAAGUUAGAUAUCAAGAUCACUUGCUCACAAGAGACAGAGCCUUUAGGCACAGCAGGGCCACUGGCUUUAGCUCGUGAUAUAUUGAGAGAUGACUCUGGUGAACCCUUUUUCGUCCUCAAUAGUGAUGUUAUAUGUGACUAUCCAUUGAAAGAAUUGAUUUUGUUUCAUAAGUCCCACGGCGGAGAAGCUUCCAUUAUGGUGACGAAGGUUGAUGAACCAUCAAAAUAUGGUGUAGUGGUCAUGGAAGAAGCGACUGGGAGAGUUG
RNAcentral lists this unclassified non-coding RNA (489 nucleotides) under Hevea brasiliensis (rubber tree). Lineage: Eukaryota; Viridiplantae; Streptophyta; Magnoliopsida; Malpighiales; Euphorbiaceae. The record is from RNAcentral.